GAGGCCCUAUGGGAGGCAGCAGUAGGGAAUCUUCCACAAUGGACGAAAGUCUGAUGGAGCAACGCCGCGUGAGUGAAGAAGGGUUUCGGCUCGUAAAGCUCUGUUGGUAGUGAAGAAAGAUAGAGGUAGUAACUGGCCUUUAUUUGACGGUAAUUACUUAGAAAGUCACGGCUAACUACGUGCCAGCAGCCGCAGUAAUACGUAGGUGGCAAGCGUUGUCCGGAUUUAUUGGGCGUAAAGCGAGUGCAGGCGGCUCAAUAAGGCU
Molecule: ribosomal RNA, 265 nt
Filed under: uncultured bacterium
Lineage: Bacteria
Description: partial 16S ribosomal RNA
Rfam family: Bacterial small subunit ribosomal RNA
Source: RNAcentral